CAGUCGCCGCGGUAAUACAGAGGGUGCGAGCGUUAAUCGGAUUUACUGGGCGUAAAGCGUGCGUAGGCGGCUUUUUAAGUCGGAUGUGAAAUCCCUGAGCUUAACUUAGGAAUUGCAUUCGAUACUGGGAAGCUAGAGUAUGGGAGAGGAUGGUAGAAUUCCAGGUGUAGCGGUGAAAUGCGUAGAGAUCUGGAGGAAUACCGAUGGCGAAGGCAGCCAUCUGGCCUAAUACUGACGCUAAGGUACGAAAGCAUGGGGAGCAAACAGGAUUAGAUACCCCUGUAGUCCCUGUCUCUUAUAC
RNAcentral lists this ribosomal RNA (301 nucleotides) under uncultured bacterium. RNAcentral's name for it is "partial 16S ribosomal RNA". It matches the Rfam family "Bacterial small subunit ribosomal RNA", at positions 509 to 807 of the family's 1533-position model. The record is from RNAcentral.